This 467-nucleotide ribosomal RNA is filed under the name uncultured bacterium. RNAcentral describes it as "partial 16S ribosomal RNA". It matches the Rfam family "Bacterial small subunit ribosomal RNA", at positions 28 to 507 of the family's 1533-position model. The record is from RNAcentral.
GACGAACGCUGGCGGCGUGCUUAACACAUGCAAGUCGAACGGAAAGGCCUCUUUCGGGGGGUACUCGAGUGGCGAACGGGUGAGUAACACGUGAGUAACCUGCCCUUGACUUUGGGAUAACUUCCGUAAACUGGGGCUAAUACCGGAUAGGAGCUCCUGCUGCAUGGUGGGGGUUGGAAAGUUUCGGCGGUUGGGGAUGGACUCGCGGCGUAUCAGCUUGUUGGUGGGGUAGUGGCUUACCAAGGCUUUGACGGGUAGCCGGCCUGAGAGGGUGACCGGCCACAUUGGGACUGAGAUACGGCCCAGACGCCGACGGGAGGCAGCAGGGGGGAAUAUUGCACAAGGGGUGGAAGCCGGAUGCAGCAACGCCGUGGGCGGGAGGACGGCCUUAGGGUUGGAAACCGCUUUCGCUCAUGACGAAGCUUUGUGUGACGGUAGUGGGUAAAGAAGCACCGGCUAACUACGUG